AACGUAGGAGACGAGCGUUAUCCGGAUUUACUGGGCGUAAAGCGUGUGCAGGCGGUUCGGCAAGUUGGAUGUGAAAUCUCCCGGCUCAACUGGGAGGGGUCGUUCAAUACUACCGAACUUGAGGGCAUCAGAGGAAGGUGGAAUUCCCGGUGUAGUGGUGAAAUGCGUAGAUAUCGGGAGGAACACCAGUGGCGAAGGCGGCCUUCUGGGAUGUUUCUGACGCUCAUACACGAAAGCUAGGGGAGCGAACGGG
Molecule: ribosomal RNA, 253 nt
Filed under: uncultured bacterium
Lineage: Bacteria
Description: partial 16S ribosomal RNA
Rfam family: Bacterial small subunit ribosomal RNA
Source: RNAcentral